This is a long non-coding RNA of Pantherophis guttatus, 534 nucleotides long. RefSeq lists it as uncharacterized. Lineage: Eukaryota; Metazoa; Chordata; Lepidosauria; Squamata; Colubridae. The record is from RefSeq and is a predicted model, not a curated record.
GGGAGAUACUGUCUUAGCAGGUGCAGUUGAAAUAGUUGAUGGGGAUGCAGACAACCAUUAAGCAUCUCCCCCUGACAAUAACAACUACCCCGAUUUUCCAAUGUCUGAAUGACAACAGUGUCACCAGAUGUGGCCCAAAAUGCACCUGGACGAUCUGAACCUAUUUGCCACCCGUGCAACAAUCUCUUCUGAGCUGCAAGUUUUUUAUGCUGCACACAAAGUAACCAGAAGCGAGGAAGCCUAGGUUAGAACAUCUCCAAAGGACCUGAGGACAGGAGAAAAAGUAACAGGAGGACCAUCAUUAAAGAAAAAUCCACCCUACAACUAAGAAACAAUGAAGAUCUCUGGAAGUUUAGGAGCUCCAUCAUUGGAAGUUUUCAAAAAGACAAUGGAUGGCCAUUUGAUUGGAAUGGUAUAUAUGGUGUCCUGCCUGAGCAGGGGGUUGGACUAGAAGACCUCCAAGGUCCCUUCCAAUCCUAUUAUUCCAUGUUCUAUGUUCUAACAUUAUGAGCAUUUACAGGGCUUUGUAAGGCU